UACGUAGGGACCGAGCGUUGUCCGGAUUCAUUGGGCGUAAAGAGCUCGUAGGCGGCUGCUCAAGUCGAAUGUGAAAACUCGAGGCUCAACCUCGAGCCUGCAUUCGAUACUGGGCGGCUAGAGUCUGGUAGGGGGAUCUGGAAUUCCUGGUGUAGCGGUGGAAUGCGCAGAUAUCAGGAGGAACACCGGUGGCGAAGGCGGGAUCCUGGGCCAGUACUGACGCUGAGGAGCGAAAGCUGAGGGAGCAAACGGG
This 253-nucleotide ribosomal RNA is filed under the name uncultured bacterium. Its description in RNAcentral is "partial 16S ribosomal RNA". It matches the Rfam family "Bacterial small subunit ribosomal RNA", at positions 524 to 776 of the family's 1533-position model. The record is from RNAcentral.